GCCUAGGUGGCUCGGUUGGUAGAGCAUGAGAUUUGAUCUUGGGGUUGUAAGUUUGAGUCCUGCAUUGGGCA
Molecule: transfer RNA, 71 nt
Filed under: Canis lupus familiaris (dog)
Lineage: Eukaryota; Metazoa; Chordata; Mammalia; Carnivora; Canidae
Also listed under: 1 other name
Rfam family: tRNA
About the family: Transfer RNA (tRNA) molecules are approximately 80 nucleotides in length.
Source: Rfam by way of RNAcentral